CGUUGAAAUAUCGGUUCCCGUACGAUCACCAGAGUUAAGCAACAUUCAUCCUGGUCAGUACCUAGAUGGGUGACCGCCUGGGAAUACUACGUGCUAUA
Molecule: non-coding RNA, 98 nt
Organism: Acanthosepion pharaonis
Lineage: Eukaryota; Metazoa; Mollusca; Cephalopoda; Sepiida; Sepiidae
Source: the annotation of a GenBank genome assembly